This 253-nucleotide ribosomal RNA is filed under the name uncultured bacterium. RNAcentral describes it as "partial 16S ribosomal RNA". It matches the Rfam family "Bacterial small subunit ribosomal RNA", at positions 524 to 776 of the family's 1533-position model. The record is from RNAcentral.
CACGUAGGGGACGAGCGUUGUCCGGAUUCAUUGGGCGUAAAGCGCGUGUAGGCGGCCCGGUAAGUCCGCUGUGAAAGUCGGGGGCUCAACCCUCGAAUGCCGGUGGAUACUGUCGGGCUAGAGUGCGGGAGAGGCGAGUGGAAUUCCUGGUGUAGCGGUGAAAUGCGCAGAUAUCAGGAGGAACACCAAUUGCGAAGGCAGCUCGCUGGAACGUAACUGACGCUGAGACGCGAAAGCGUGGGGAGCAAACAGG